CCUACGGGGGGCAGCAGUGGGGAAUAUUGCGCAAUGGGCGAAAGCCUGACGCAGCGACGCCGCGUGAGGGAUGAAGGUCUUCGGAUUGUAAACCUCUGUCAGCAGGGAAGAACGGUCACUGUGCUAAUCAGCAGUGAAUUGACGGUACCUGCAAAGGAAGCACCGGCUAACUCCGUGCCAGCAGCCGCGGUAAUACGGAGGGUGCGAGCGUUAAUCGGAAUUACUGGGCGUAAAGCGCUCGUAGGCGGUAUGUCAAGUCAAGGGUGAAAUCCCCGCGCUCAACCUGGGAACUGCCUUUGAGACUGGCAGACUAGAGUGUGUUAGAGGAAAGUGGAAUUCCAGGUGUAGGGGUGAAAUGCGUAGAGAUCUGGAGGAACAUCAGUGGCGAAGGCGACUAUCUGGCACAAAACUGACGCUGAGGAGCGAAAGCGUGGGUAGCAAACAGGAUUAGAUACCCGAGUAGUC
This 465-nucleotide ribosomal RNA is filed under the name uncultured bacterium. RNAcentral's name for it is "partial 16S ribosomal RNA". It matches the Rfam family "Bacterial small subunit ribosomal RNA", at positions 338 to 795 of the family's 1533-position model. The record is from RNAcentral.